ACACAUGCAGUCCGAGCGGAGAUGAGGUGCUUGGCACCUUAUCUUACGGCGGACGGGUGAGUAAUGCUUAGGAAUCUGCCUAUUAGUGGGGGACAACAUUCCGAAAGGAAUGCUAAUACCGCAUACGUCCUACGGGAGAAAGCAGGGGAUCUUCGGACCUUGCGCUAAUAGAUGAGCCUAAGUCGGAUUAGCUAGUUGGUGGGGUAAAGGCCUACCAAGGCGACGAUCUGUAGCGGGUCUGAGAGGAUGAUCCGCCACACUGGGACUGAGACACGGCCCAGACUCCUACGGGAGGCAGCAGUGGGGAAUAUUGGACAAUGGGGGGAACCCUGAUCCAGCCAUGCCGCGUGUGUGAAGAAGGCCUUAUGGUUGUAAAGCACUUUAAGCGAGGAGGAGGCUACUGAGACUAAUACUCUUGGAUAGUGGACGUUACUCGCAGAAUAAGCACCGGCUAACUCUGUGCCAGCAGCCGCGGUAAUACAGAGGGUGCGAGCGUUAAUCGGAUUUACUGGGCGUAAAGCGUGCGUAGGCGGCUUUUUAAGUCGGAUGUGAAAUCCCCGAGCUUAACUUGGGAAUUGCAUUCGAUACUGGGAAGCUAGAGUAUGGGAGAGGAUGGUAGGAUUCCAGGUGUAGCGGUGAAAUGCGUAGAGAUCUGGAGGAAUACCGAUGGCGAAGCAGCCAUCUGGCCUAAUACUGACGCUGAGUACGAAAGCAUGGGGAGCAAACAGGAUUAGAUACCCUGGUAGUCCAUGCCGUAAACGAUGUCUACUAGCCGUUGGGGCCUUUGAGCUUUAGUGGCGCAGCUAACGCGAUAAGUAGACCGCCUGGGGAGUACGGUCGCAGGACUAA
This 849-nucleotide ribosomal RNA is filed under the name uncultured bacterium. RNAcentral's name for it is "bacterial SSU rRNA". It matches the Rfam family "Bacterial small subunit ribosomal RNA", at positions 51 to 897 of the family's 1533-position model. The record is from RNAcentral.